UACAGAGGGGGCAAGCGUUGUUCGGAUUCAUUGGGCGUAAAGGGUGCGUAGGUGGUGCCGUAAGUUGGAUGUGAAAUCCCGGAGCUCAACUCCGGAACUGCAUUCAAUACUGCGGUGCUAGAGUACUGGAGAGGAGAUUGGAAUUCACGGUGUAGCAGUGAAAUGCGUAGAUAUCUGGAGGAACACCGGUGGCGAAGGCGGCAUCCUGGACCGGUAUUGACGCUGAGGCGCGAAAGCCAGGGGAGCAAACGGG
Molecule: ribosomal RNA, 253 nt
Filed under: uncultured prokaryote
Description: partial 16S ribosomal RNA
Rfam family: Bacterial small subunit ribosomal RNA
Source: RNAcentral